RNAcentral lists this small RNA (274 nucleotides) under Colobus angolensis palliatus. RNAcentral's name for it is "Metazoan signal recognition particle RNA (ENSCANG00000008994.1)". Lineage: Eukaryota; Metazoa; Chordata; Mammalia; Primates; Cercopithecidae. The record is from RNAcentral.
GCCAGGUGUGAUGGUGCACACCUGUAUUCCCAACUACUCAGGAGGCUGAGGUGGGAGGAUUGCUUGGGCCCAGGAGGUUGAGGUUGCAUUGAACCAAUCAGGCCAUUGCCCUCCAGCCUGGACAACAGAGAGAGGGGAGACUCCAUCUAAAAAAAACGGCUGGGCACAGUGGCUCAUGCCUGUAAUCCCAGCACUUUGGGAGGCUGGGGCGAGUGGAUCACCUGAGGUCAGGAGUUCGAGACCAGCCUGGCCAACACAGUGAAACCCCAUCUCU